Long non-coding RNA from Mauremys mutica (yellowpond turtle), 538 nucleotides. RefSeq lists it as uncharacterized. Lineage: Eukaryota; Metazoa; Chordata; Testudines; Geoemydidae. The transcript has 3 exons. The record is from RefSeq and is a predicted model, not a curated record.
GUGUGAGCACCAGUCAGAUCCAGCCUCGCCCCUGGGGGAAUCGAUGAAGCUGCUGCGGUAACCCAGACUGAGCUGUGGAUUGGAUCUCACUACGGUUUCCUGUCAUUUUACAGAAAUCAGGGUGAGCCUACAGAAAAGCAGAAGAUCGCUGAUUGUCAGAAGUCCCAGUAAGGUAUGCACCUGUUGGACAAUCAGAAGGGCUACAUCAUUCCUAUGGACCCCAAGUCAGAAUUCAACUUAUAUUCUACUAUACUUUUUUUCCUUUAAACAAUGUAUACACCUAUGUACUAAUAAUAUGUCAUGUGCUAACCUGAAACUAUAGGCAGAGACAUUACAUAAUCUUUGACUAUUGGCUACUGUGCUUAUCUUGUCUGGCUGCUAGACCUAUCCAGGGGCUCGGGACCACCAACUCCGUCACUUACCUCCGCUCAUGAAAAAUCCAUAUAAUCCAUUGUAAUCAAUUGUUUGGCAGUGUCUCCGAGCCUAAUAAGCAAAGUGACACUCCGCCAGGGCUGUGCGUAAUAAACCCAUGUGCUUG